CCUACGGGAGGCUGCAGUGGGGAAUAUUGGACAAUGGGCGAAAGCCUGAUCCAGCCAUGCCGCGUGUGUGAAGAAGGCCUUCGGGUUGUAAAGCACUUUCAGUGGGGAAGAAAGCCUUGGGGCUAAUACCCUCGAGGAAGGACAUCACCCACAGAAGAAGCACCGGCUAACUCCGUGCCAGCAGCCGCGGUAAUACGGAGGGUGCGAGCGUUAAUCGGAAUUACUGGGCGUAAAGCGCGCGUAGGCGGUCUGAUAAGCCGGUUGUGAAAGCCCCGGGCUCAACCUGGGAACGGCAUCCGGAACUGUCAGGCUAGAGUGCAGGAGAGGAAGGUAGAAUUCCCGGUGUAGCGGUGAAAUGCGUAGAGAUCGGGAGGAAUACCAGUGGCGAAGGCGGCCUUCUGGACUGACACUGACGCUGAGGUGCGAAAGCGUGGGUAGCAAACAGGAUUAGAUACCCCCUGUAGUC
This 466-nucleotide ribosomal RNA is filed under the name Vreelandella stevensii. RNAcentral's name for it is "partial 16S ribosomal RNA". It matches the Rfam family "Bacterial small subunit ribosomal RNA", at positions 338 to 795 of the family's 1533-position model. The record is from RNAcentral. Lineage: Bacteria; Pseudomonadati; Pseudomonadota; Gammaproteobacteria; Oceanospirillales; Halomonadaceae.